GUGGGGGAUAUUGCACAAUGGAGGAAACUCUGAUGCAGCGACGCCGCGUGAGUGAAGAAGUAUUUCGGUAUGAAAAGCUCUAUCAGCAGGGAAGAUAAUGACAGUACCUGACUAAGAAGCCCCGGCUAACUACGUGCCAGCAGCCGCGGUAAUACGUAGGGGGCAAGCGUUAUCCGGAUUUACUGGGUGUAAAGGGAGCGUAGACGGAAUGGCAAGUCUGAAGUGAAAUCCUGCGGCUUAACUGCAGAAUUGCUUUGGAAACUGUCAAUCUGGAGUGUUGGAGAGGUAAGCGGAAUUCCUGGUGUAGCGGUGAAAUGCGUAGAUAUCAGGAAGAACACCGGAGGCGAAGGCGGCUUACUGGACAAUAACUGACGUUGAGGCUCGAAAGCGUGGGAAGCAAACAGGAUUAGAAACCCGGGUAGUCC
Molecule: ribosomal RNA, 425 nt
Filed under: uncultured bacterium
Lineage: Bacteria
Description: partial 16S ribosomal RNA
Rfam family: Bacterial small subunit ribosomal RNA
Source: RNAcentral